Molecule: transfer RNA, 38 nt
Filed under: Ursus arctos (brown bear)
Lineage: Eukaryota; Metazoa; Chordata; Mammalia; Carnivora; Ursidae
Description: partial tRNA-Asp
Source: RNAcentral
UCAGGGUUAAAUUAUAGGUGAAAAUCCUUUAUAUCUUU